ACACAAAAGAAAAUAUAGGAAAAAGAAAGCAUGCGUCUCUCCCUUUCUCUUUUGGACCUAUUAUACUAAGAAUUCCACUGACUUUCACACACACAAAGACAUUUUUACACACACUCGGACACUCAGUAUCUAAAAAACUCCAAAGAAAAAGAAACCAAAGCCAACUAGCUAAGCAAAGCCAUCAAUUAUUUGUAUCACUUCCUACUCUUCUUCUUCUUCUUCUUCUCAAACAUUUCAUAAACAUUGUCACAAAACCAAAACCAAAUCAGUUCCAAACCUUCUAAAGUAAUCGACCAUGAUGUUCUCCGCCAAAGAAAUGCCUUCUCCUUCAUCAUUGUUCUCUGCUUAUGCGUCCAUGGCAGCCUCAAUGAUGCUAUUUAGAUCCAUGGCCAAUGAGCUAGUACCUCAGCCUGUUAGAGGCUACCUCUACUCAACUCUCCGCUACAUCUUCAAAACUCACUCCACUAUGCUCACACUAGUCAUCGAGGAAUCGAAUAGCAUAAGCCGAAACCAACUCUAUGAUGCUGCAGAGGUUUACUUGUGCACGAGGAUCAGUCCCAAGACUGACAGGCUCAAAAUCAGCAAAACCCCGAAAGCUAAUAACUUAACAAUUCGGCUCGAGAAAGGUGAGAAGUUGGUGGAUUUCUAUGAAGGGAUUGAGCUCCAGUGGAAGUUUGUUUGUGCCGAGUCAGGACAGAACAAUCCCAACGAUCCAUUUUCGCCUCCAAGGUCCGAAAAGAGGUUCUUUGAGCUCAAGUUCCACAAGAAGCACAAGGACAAAAUCUUGGAUAUUUAUGUGCCUUAUGUUGUUGAAAGGGCCAAAGCAAUCAAAGAUGAAGAAAGGGUUUUGAAGAUGUACACAUUAAACAGUUCCGGCCACCACCACCCUUACAAUGGCUUCAAGUGGGACUCCAUCAACCUCGAACACCCUUCAACAUUUGAGACUCUGGCCAUGGAUUUGGAGCUCAAGAAUGCUGUUAUUGAAGAUCUUAACAGGUUUGUGAGGAGGAAGGACUUCUAUAAGAAAGUAGGGAGGGCAUGGAAAAGAGGGUACUUGUUGUAUGGUCCUCCAGGCACUGGAAAAUCAAGCUUGGUUGCAGCCAUGGCUAACCAUCUCAAGUUUGAUGUCUAUGACUUGCAGCUUGCUAAUAUAUUUCGUGAUUCUGACCUGAGAAAACUGUUGCUGGCCACCGCAAAUCGGUCCAUUCUUGUGAUUGAAGACAUUGAUUGUAGUGUUGAUUUGCCUGAUCGGGUUCGACAUGGAGAUGGAAGAAAGCAAGUGCCUGAUGUACAGUUAACACUAUCUGGACUACUGAACUUCAUAGAUGGAUUAUGGUCUAGUUGUGGAGAUGAGAGGAUCAUAAUAUUUACCACUAAUCACAAGGAGAGAUUAGACUCUGCUCUAUUGCGCCCUGGACGCAUGGACAUGCAUAUUCACAUGUCCUAUUGCACAUACCAUGGCUUCCAACUCUUGGCCUCAAACUACUUGGGUAUCCAGAACCACCACUACCUCUAUGAUGAAAUCGAAGGCUUACUGAAAGAAACAGAGGUGACUCCUGCGCAAGUAGCAGAAGAGUUUAUGAAGAGUGAAGAAGUUGAUAUUGCACUUGAAGGACUGAUCAAGCUUUUAAAGCGGAAGAAGAUGGAAGGAGAUGAAUGCGAGGUUGAGAAUGAAAAGAAGAUCGGAGUGAAAGGAGCAAAGAGGCAGAAAACUGAGAACAAACAGAAGAAACCUGUGAGGAAUAGUAGGAAAAACACCACCAAAAGAUGCAGCAAUCGUUUAUCAGCUAAAGCCAACUAUUAUGCAUAAAUAUUCUCCAUGAUCCUUAUACAACAUUGAUGCUUGAGUUUGGGGUUUAGUUUCACUUCCUGGAGAUCUGUAUUGUAAUAACUGAGUAAAGGCCAUGUAGAUAUCAGUCAGUUUUGUGGCUUGCAUCGAUUUUGAAAGCUCAUUCCUUCAUGCUGUUAAUUACACUGACAUUAACAGAGAGAAGGUAUCUGUAGCCAGGAAAGUAAGAAAACUAUGGAUCAAGCUCUUUCAAAAACAAGUCUACUACAUCAAAAAUUACAUGCUACAUUGCUCCAAACUACAAGUUCAAAACUUAAUUGGCCUAUUUAAAGCUAGUUACAAAAUCAA
This is an RNA transcript of Rosa chinensis, 2137 nucleotides long. It is a transcript of the gene named AAA-ATPase At5g17760, with no coding region annotated. NCBI's taxonomy places the organism in Eukaryota, Viridiplantae, Streptophyta, Magnoliopsida, Rosales, Rosaceae. The record is from RefSeq and is a predicted model, not a curated record. The transcript is spliced from 3 exons.